UGACCAAUCAGGGCAGACAUCCAACCAACUUAAAUGUAAGCUGAUUCUUACAUGCUACCUUUCCCUACCAGUUAAAUAUCAGCCCUGUGCCAUGGACUGAGGAGAUAUGAAGAAGGAAAUCAACACAAGAUUGUGUUGGCACAAGAGAAAGCUGCUCUGAAUGGUGAGAACAGGAGUCAGCCCACCUAUCCUAAGUCAAAGGAACCCACCAGUUCCAAGGAGGAGGCACAGAUGAAAAGAAGAAAGGAAAGAAGUGAAAGAAGAAGAACAAGUGAGAGGUGGGAGGAGAAGGACAAGGAUGGUGGAGCUGAAGCAGUACCUGGCACCGUGGCCAUCCUUCCAAGUUUGUCUUGGCUCCUGACUUCAACCAGUGGUUUUUGAUACCUUUCUCACGUCAUUUCCCAGGGUAGCACAAGCUGCCUUGUGAAUUACCAGAGUGAAGAAAUGGCCCCAAGGGACAUCAUCUUGAAGCCACGUGAGGAAAGACACAGCCACAUGAUUCUCUCAGCCUCAAUGCACCCCGGUAGGAUGCUACUCGCCCGGUUUGCUGAGGACUGAGAGGGUUUCCAGCAUACAGGAUUUUCAGUUUUCAAACCACGACAGUCUCAGGCCAACCGGAAUGAGAUCAUCCCCGAUCACCAAUGAGUAAAUUGAGCCGAGAGGGAUAAAGAGACUUAUUCAAAAGACACAGUAGACACUAUUAAAGUUGGACUCCAGAACACAGAUUCCCUGACUCUUUCUACUAGAUAAAUCGCACUGCCUUCCUGCAAUGCUGCUCCCAAUGCAUGUCUCAUCCUUCAGAGAAUUCCAAAAGAAACCAUUCAAAGAGAAGUUGAAUACUGAGUGAAUCUGAGCUACUCUCCUGGACUUCUAAUCUCUGAAGAACAAAGUUUACCGGAAGAAAUUUGUGAAGUCAUUUGGCCUAUUUCGUGGGGCGCCAAUAAUAUUCAUAUAAUUUCAGCUGAAUUCUUGUUAAUCAGUAGCACACUCUUGACCUUUGUGAAAACAUCAGGCCAACUGAGUGGGCUCAAUUACAAAAGUGUCACUUCUUUUGUCUCUUUAGGCUCAAAUGGAAGGGAAUUUCUUUACCACAAUUCCUAAUAUGGAAACUGACAUCACAGAGGAUAAAAAGCUGCCGUUCUUUUGAAACACUAAACAUAUUCUCAUCUCAGGGUCUUUACUCUUGCUGUCCCUUCUACUUAUUUAUCCCAGAACUUCACAUGUCUUCCUCCUCCUCCCUCCACCUCAGGUCUCAACUCAAAUAUUAUUCCCUCCAAGAAGCCUUCUUUUGUUGCCUCGAUUAAAGCACCUUCCUGCUCAGCCCCAGCACUAAUCAUGUGUAUUGGGUUGAAAAGCAGCCCCCAAAAUUCAUGUCCAACCGGAACCUCAGAAUGUGACCUUAUUUGGAAAUAGGGUCUUUGCAGAUUUAACUAAGGUUAAGUGUAGAGUUGAGAUCAUACUAGGUGAGGAUGAGCCCUAAAUCCAAUGAGAGUGUCCUUAUAAGAGACAGAAAAGGACACAUGGAGAGA
RNAcentral lists this long non-coding RNA (1529 nucleotides) under Equus caballus (horse). RNAcentral's name for it is "lncRNA (ENSECAG00000053530.1)". Lineage: Eukaryota; Metazoa; Chordata; Mammalia; Perissodactyla; Equidae. The record is from RNAcentral.